This 76-nucleotide transfer RNA is filed under the name Nocardioides sp. Its description in RNAcentral is "tRNA-Asn". It matches the Rfam family "tRNA". Rfam says of the family: Transfer RNA (tRNA) molecules are approximately 80 nucleotides in length. Their secondary structure includes four short double-helical elements and three loops (D, anti-codon, and T loops). Further hydrogen bonds mediate the characteristic L-shaped molecular structure. tRNAs have two regions of fundamental functional importance: the anti-codon, which is responsible for specific mRNA codon recognition, and the 3' end, to which the tRNAs corresponding amino acid is attached (by aminoacyl-tRNA synthetases). tRNAs cope with the degeneracy of the genetic code in two manners: having more than one tRNA (with a specific anti-codon) for a particular amino acid; and 'wobble' base-pairing, i.e. permitting non-standard base-pairing at the 3rd anti-codon position. Lineage: Bacteria; Bacillati; Actinomycetota; Actinomycetes; Propionibacteriales; Nocardioidaceae. The record is from RNAcentral.
UCCCCCGUAGCUCAACUGGCAGAGCAUUCGACUGUUAAUCGAAGGGUUGUUGGUUCGAGUCCAACCGGGGGAGCCA